RNAcentral lists this ribosomal RNA (459 nucleotides) under uncultured bacterium. RNAcentral's name for it is "partial 16S ribosomal RNA". It matches the Rfam family "Bacterial small subunit ribosomal RNA", at positions 338 to 795 of the family's 1533-position model. The record is from RNAcentral.
CCUACGGGAGGCAGCAGUGAGGAAUAUUGGUCAAUGGGCGAGAGCCUGAACCAGCCAAGUCGCGUGAAGGAUGAAGGAUCUAUGGUUUGUAAACUUCUUUUAUAUGGGAAUAAAGUGAGGAACGUGUUCCUUUUUGUAUGUACCAUAUGAAUAAGCAUCGGCUAACUCCGUGCCAGCAGCCGCGGUAAUACGGAGGAUGCGAGCGUUAUCCGGAUUUAUUGGGUUUAAAGGGUGCGCAGGCGGGCUGUUAAGCCGGCGGUAAAAAUUCAGGGCUCAACCCUGUCGAGCCGUCGGAACUGGCAGUCUUGAGUGGGCGAGAAGUAUGCGGAAUGCGUGGUGUAGCGGUGAAAUGCAUAGAUAUCACGCAGAACGCCGAUUGCGAAGGCAGCAUACCGGCGCCCAACUGACGCUGAGGCACGAAAGCGUGGGGAUCGAACAGGAUUAGAUACCCCUGUAGUC